Molecule: non-coding RNA, 345 nt
Organism: Manis javanica (Malayan pangolin)
Lineage: Eukaryota; Metazoa; Chordata; Mammalia; Pholidota; Manidae
Source: RefSeq, a predicted model, not a curated record
GACAGGAGGCGUUGGGGCCUUGCCUGAGUCCCCACUGUGACCACACCCUCCAACGACAGCGUCUCUGACAUUCGCUGGGACCCCUGGGGAUACGGUGACCAGUUGCCGCCCACACACAAAGUGCCAGGUCCCUGGGGAUUCCUGGAAGCUUUGCUAGGAGCCAGGCAAACAAAUGAGCGGCCAGUUCUGCAGCCACCCACACUCACCUCUGCAGGGAGUGAAGGUCCUUCCAAGCCCUGCUCGGACACCCUCUCUCUUCUGACCAUGCUGAGCUGAUCUCCAUUACCAGUGACCCUCUCCCUUGGAACAAGGGAUGUCUGGGUCCAGCUCUGCCUGCCAGCCAGG